UGUUCAGCGUAUUUUCUUAGUCAUUUCCAUUGCGAUCACUAUGGUGGCCUUAGCAAGAAAUGGUCUCAUGGCCCUAUCUAUUGCUCUCCUCUCACGGGACGGCUUGUUCAAAUGUGUCUAUCGGUAUAUCCACCCUUUGGAAUUUAAUACGGAACAUGUGAUUGAUGGUGUCAAAGUGACUUUUUUAGAAGCUAAUCAUUGCCCUGGUGCGGCUUUGAUUCACUUUAGCCUCCCAAAUGACCAACGUUAUUUGCACACUGGGGACUUUAGAGCGUGUAAACCAAUGCAAGCUUACCGUCUUCUUGUAAAUCAACGUGUAAAUGUACUUUAUUUGGAUACUACAUAUUGCAAUCCAAAGUACAGGUUCCCUUCCAAGGAAGAUGUACUAAAUUAUGUUGUCAAAAUUACAAAGAACCAUCUCAAAAUUCAUCAGAGAACUUUAGUGGUCGUUGGGGCUUACAGUAUUGGCAAAGAAUGUGUAUAUCUUGCAAUUUCUAAAGCUCUUGGGGUAAAAAUUUAUGCCAAUGCUUCAAGAAGACGGAUUUUACAAGCUUUUGAUUGGUCCGACCUUUCAGAUAGACUCUGUACAAUAGGAAAGAACACGCUUCUCCAUGUCCUGCCCAUGUCAUCUUUGAGACCUGAGACCUUAAAAGAUUACUUGAAGACAUACAAGGAUCAAUUCACAGAAGUUUUGGCGUUCCGUCCAACAGGUUGGACUUUCAAUGAAAAGAUAAGCAACGAUCUGGAACUAAUUAAACCUGUUACCAAAGGAAAUAUCACGAUUUAUGGAGUUCCCUACAGUGAGCAUUCCAGCUAUACAGAACUGCGAGAUUUUGUUCAGUUUUUGAGACCUGACAAGAUCAUUCCAACUGUGAAUGUUGGGAAUGCUGCUAAUCGAGAAAAGAUGCAAUCCUAUUUCCGAGACUGGCUGAGGUGCUGAAGUCUCUUAUUCACUGCUAUUUCUAGAUGGGAUUUAAGUAUUUAUUUCAGGUCUCUACAUUUAUUGCUGCUUGUAGAAGUUUAAGCUCCGGUGUACUUCCCAUUUAUUGCUGCUACUAAAUUUGGAUGCAAUGCAGGGCAUUCAUCAACUUUAUGACAACCAAAGUAGGACCAGAAUAAAAUGAGAUGCCAUACAUUCUGAUAUUUUCUGAAGAGUACUUUAGCAAUGCCCAAUUUGAACAUUGUUGAACAAAUACAAAAGAAGUAAAUGUUGUAUCUCUAUGCGGUUGGAUUGACUAGUAUAACUUUCGCUAAAGCUGUGCAUGUGAUUGACCAAAUCUGAUUGUAUUUUGGGAAAUAAUCUACAUGUAGAUAUGAUUAAAAUAUAUUAGACAUUGUUAAAUAUAAUUUUGUGAUUAA
Non-coding RNA from Vigna umbellata (rice bean), 1359 nucleotides. The record is from RefSeq and is a predicted model, not a curated record. Lineage: Eukaryota; Viridiplantae; Streptophyta; Magnoliopsida; Fabales; Fabaceae.